Prunus avium (sweet cherry) is the source of this 907-nucleotide non-coding RNA. The record is from RefSeq and is a predicted model, not a curated record. NCBI's taxonomy places the organism in Eukaryota, Viridiplantae, Streptophyta, Magnoliopsida, Rosales, Rosaceae.
UCCACGCCUAUAUAAGUAGAAUUGCCCUUCUUUCUCUCUCGCAAUUUAACCUAAAGCCAGACAUAGCCAUGGACCUCGUCUCAUCCUUGGAGCGCCAGAAGUCAGUGGUGCUCGAUAAGAACGUCGGUGAAAAAGAAAUUUUCUCGCCAGAUAUGGUUCCCCUCAAUCGCGAUACGCCAAUCUGCAUUGACAGUGACACCCAAGCGGACCGUGAUGAUAUAUUAGGGCAAACUGUUUCCAUGAAUUUUUUUGAUAAAUAGGUGCAAACUGUUUCCAUGUAGUCAUUAUAUUGAUUUAUUUGUUAUUAUUCAACUGAUUUGUUGGGUUUUCACAUCACGGCCUUUUUUUUAUUGGUAUUUGACAAUGUAAUUGCAAACAGGUAGCAAGGCUGAUCUUGAUUAUAUGCCUUUCGGCUGGGGCCCUUCUAUUCCUCCUGGUGAAUGUGUAUUGUUUAAAGAUAGAUGAGCAUCAUUCGUCAAACUGCCCUUACAGGAAGCGUGUCCCAAAGAAUGCAACAGUUGGCAAUGGUUGUGAGAUAGUUUGUUCGGGUUGUGGUCAGUUUUUAAGAGGCAACUGUUGUGGAGAUGAAGGAUUUGCGAUUUCCAAGGUGCGUUGUAUUUGUGGGGAGAUUGGUCACUGGCCUACAACGUGCCCAAGCCCACUCCGCCAGGGGAAAGAUAUUUCAUGAUGGACUUCUGUUAGAACUUCUGAGGUUUGCUUGUUUUCAGGUUUCUUACAACUUCUGUCAAUUGAAAUAGUAGACAAGUUUUUGGGACUCUAAAUUCAAAGCAAUUAUUUUUAAAACAUUGUAUGUUAAUUACUAUUUAUAACGAAUGUGUAGAAUUUUUUUAUCGAUGUGUAGACUUUGCGUAACUACUGUUUUUAGUAGUUGAUGAGGAUUUGGUUA